CCCUUUCCCCCCCGGGGGGGGGGGACAGUAGGGAAUCUUCCACAAUGGGCGAAAGCCUGAUGGAGCAACGCCGCGUGUGUGAUGAAGGCUUUCGGGUCGUAAAGCACUGUUGUAUGGGAAGAACAGCUAGAAUAGGAAAUGAUUUUAGUUUGACGGUACCAUACCAGAAAGGGACGGCUAAAUACGUGCCAGCAGCCGCGGUAAUACGUAUGUCCCGAGCGUUAUCCGGAUUUAUUGGGCGUAAAGCGAGCGCAGACGGUUUAUUAAGUCUGAUGUGAAAGCCCGGAGCUCAACUCCGGAAUGGCAUUGGAAACUGGUUAACUUGAGUGCAGUAGAGGUAAGUGGAACUCCAUGUGUAGCGGUGGAAUGCGUAGAUAUAUGGAAGAACACCAGUGGCGAAGGCGGCUUACUGGACUGCAACUGACGUUGAGGCUCGAAAGUGUGGGUAGCAAACAGGAUUAGAUACCCUGGUAGUCCACACCGUAAACGAUGAACACUAGGUGUUAGGAGGUUUCCGCCUCUUAGUGCCGAAGCUAACGCAUUAAGUGUCCGCCCUGGGAGACGACC
Molecule: ribosomal RNA, 567 nt
Filed under: Leuconostoc mesenteroides
Lineage: Bacteria; Bacillati; Bacillota; Bacilli; Lactobacillales; Lactobacillaceae
Description: bacterial SSU rRNA
Rfam family: Bacterial small subunit ribosomal RNA
Source: RNAcentral